RNAcentral lists this long non-coding RNA (7072 nucleotides) under Malus domestica (apple). Its description in RNAcentral is "long non-coding RNA (MDOM_LNC010622)". The record is from RNAcentral. Lineage: Eukaryota; Viridiplantae; Streptophyta; Magnoliopsida; Rosales; Rosaceae.
ACGGGACCUUAAAAACUAGGGUUUUCCGAAGCAAAACUUACCUGAAAAUGGUGUCUACGUGAUCGUGGAGUCCUCAGGGUUGCAAUGGUAGUCUUAACUUGGACGUUGGUAUAGGUUUUAGGUGGUUUUGGUGGUUGCCCGUGCGUUCGAGAAGAAGAGAGAGAGUGAGAGUUUCUGAGGAAGAGCUGAGGAAGAGAGAGAGAGAGUGACUGAGGAGAUGAGAGAGAGACAACAAACGGGAAAUGGGGAGGGAUUUAGGGUGUAGGACCCUACCUAAAGUCCAAACACAAAAUUAUUAGUCCAAGUUUAAGUUUAAUUAACAAUAACUUAGGAAUUUUAGGUAAAACCAAUACCAAAAUUACGCACCUUAAUCCCGUUUAAGGGCAUUUUCGUCUUUUCACGUCCUCGGAAUUAAAAUUCCAGGACGGGCUGUGACAAUCUUCCCUCCUUAUAGAAUUUCGUCCCCGAAAUUCCAGCAAUCAACUAAAUCAACCAUACUCCAACAAUAGCUUCGGGUAAAUCUCUCUCAUCCGUUUCUCUUUCUCCCACAUAAUUUUCUACUGAAUGAUUUCCUUCACAAAGCUUUUACCACUUACUCUGUCUUAAUUCUCAGGACCUUCUUUUCCCAAUCCAAAGUAGUCCUUGGUUCCUUAUCAAGUCGAAUCCAAUUGAAUUCUAAAUAGUUGCACCAGAAUCCCAUGUGACGAAUCUGCCACCUAGUGACAACGCAUCGAAAUAUAAUGCAUUAUGCACCUUAGCCAAUUUUGAAGGCAUCACAAACUUAUAUGCAACUUCAUUGAUUCUUUUAAUGAUCAAAACGGUCUGAUGUGUUUAAGACUUAUCUUGUCUCCUUUCCAAUUCUCGCCAUUUCUGUUCGUGGUGAAUUUUCCAAAAUAUCGAAUCAUGAAACACAUCAUGCACUUACGACAACUCUGGAAGCCAUUCAAAUUUGUAAGCAACUUCACCAACCUCUCGAUGAUCACUUAAAGUCCGAUGUACUUAGGAUUUAACUUGCCUUCCUUUCCAGACCGAAUCAUACUUUCCUAAGGUGAAAACUUCGAAAAUAUAAAAUCAUCUGUCUUAUACACUUGAUUAGUGGCAUAUCCAUCUGUUAAUCUCUUUUGCCAUUCCUGGCUACUUUCAGGUUAACUUACUCACCUGAAUAUUUUGAGGAGACUCAUCCAUAGUCUCAGGGUCUACUAAAACUCUUUCGUGAUCGAAUCUUCCUCUACCCAGAAGCAUUAGGCACAUACUUUUCGUUUGCUUGUAUUCACAUAUCAUUUGAUUCACGAAUCAUGUACUCAUUAUUUUUCCCUUCUUUCUCUACCCUGGGUUAAUUCUUAAAUUUCCUCGUCAAACAUUUAAGUUUUGAGUACGACCUUACCAAACAGGCCUAACUUGAAAUUUAACAAGUAUAACUUCUUCUCGAUCUUCCAUUCUUAAUUUUUCUUCCGUUGGUUUUCAAUCCACAAGAUGAUACUCUUGGCAAACGUGCCAGACAUUAAUCUUACUGUAGUCUUCUCACCAAGUGCUUCAGCUAGAACAAACUUUACGAUCACCCUAACAUUUGCAUCAACAUGCCUCCAAUACCAUUCAAGAAACAUCACUAAAAAUUUAUGAUUACCACUAUUCUCUGGGAAUACCAAAAUACGUGCAUGAGUGAGGAAAUACUUCAGUUGUUAAAUCCUUUGCUUACAAUUCCUUCCCACUCAUACCUAACCUCUUUUCUCAACAGUCUCGUCAAUGACAAAGCAACGACUGAAAAAUCUUUCACAACCAUCCAAGAUAGCCUGGUAAGCUAAGAAAUUCCAAAUCUCAAUUACGACUCGUGGUUGUUCCAAAUUUUAAUUUCUGUUACCUUUUAAGGAUUCACUUGAAUACCUUAAGAAUAUAUAACAUAUCCCAGAAAUGCUGCUUGAUUCAUCCAACAUUCGCAUUUGCUAAACUUAGCAUACAAUCGACAUUCUUCCAAUCUUUGUUCUACCGACUUAAUACGUUUACAUGCUCUGCUCUGGCUCAGAAUAUGCCAGAAUAUCUUCAAUGAAAAUGAUAUCAAUUAUCAAGGCAUUAUUGGAAUACUUCAUCCAUCAACUCAUAAAACCGCAUGAGUAUCCACAUAGCAUCACCAAACUUUAUAAGGACCAUAACAAGUCCAGAAACCAUCUUAUGAUCAACGUCACUUAUAAUAUUCAAUUGGUAGUAACCAGAUCUCAAUUCAAUCUUUGAAUCUUCGCAAUUACUUCUGAGCUGGUUAAAUAAACAUCAGUACAUCACCAUGGAUAACGGUUCUCAAUCGUUACCCGACUCCAUUGUCUAUAAUCAAUGAACAGUCUCAAGAUCCAUUUUCUUCCUCACCAACAAACUGGGCUCCUCAAAAGUGUUGUACUAGGUUGAAUAAAACUUUUAUCAACCAAUUCCCUCAACUGAAUUUCCAAUUCCCUUAACUCAUCAUGAACCAAUCUCCAAUAUAAAUUUAUACCUGGCAACAAAUCAAUAGUGAACCUCAUAUCUCUGCCUGAAGGCAAUCCAAGUAUACUUUCAGGGAAGACAUCAAGAAAAGUCUAACUCUUUCGACAUUAUUCACACUACUCCAAACAACAUCAUUUAGCACCACAUGAGCUAAGUAUUUUUGACAGCCUUUCGAAAACAAUCUCUUUGCUCUCACAGCAUAAAUAAUGGCUGAACUCAAUCCACUUUGCAUACUUACAAAAGUAAUCUCUGGUCAUCCAGAUCGAUGGAAAGUACUGGUUUCCCUUAACAUUCCGUCUUGUCACAAUUAUAACCAACCAAUCUAAUGGAAAUAAUUUAACCGACACAAUACAUACUCUAUUACUACUAAGCAUUCUGAAUAAGUACAAAAUAAUCUACCGGUUUACUUACUUAACGAAUCCACGAAUGAGUUAUUAAUAUUACGGUCUGCAGCCCGCAAUACUGAUAAAUCAUCGUUGUCUCGAUAAGUAGGCAACCACUCACAAAGAUAUAACAUUACUAUUUUGUCACUCAAUGCAAAAUACAUACACUCGUCUCAACUACAUUUAUUUACUACUCUCUAGGUAAUAACAUACAUAAUAAGAAAUAUAUCAGCCGAAGUCAACUAGAAUGACCAAUACGGUUGAUUCAACUCUUAUCUCAAUAAUACGUCGGCCGGAUCCACUCCGCGUGGUCGGUACGGCCGAGCCUAUAACUCACAAAUUUCGCAUGUGUCAAUCGAAUCCACUUCUCGUGGCCUGUACGGCUGAACAUAUAACUCAUCAAAUCUCUCUGUACUCACAGUCAAUCCGACCAAACUACUAAGUUUAUAACUCUUCUGAAUUGACACUAUGAUAUCAUGGAAAAUUAUUGAGUACAACUGAUUCUAGGGACGAUUCACAAUUCUGUGUCCCCUCUGUUCACAUAAACACAUUCAUUAAUUUCACACUUCCCAAAGUGUUAAUUUUUGUACCUGCAGCACAAGGUACAUUUCCUUUACUCGAGACACCUUGUCUCAAAUAUCUAGGAUUACCAGUAUAUCCAUCACUUUUAUUCUGACCAGCGACAUUAAAACCUCAGCUAGAAGAAUUAACUCUAGCUUCACUUCUUUCGAAGCUCUAAAUCUUUCUAUAUCCUUGAUAUGACGAAUCAUUAACUUUAUCGUCUUCUUUUAAUUCCCAUUCAUUUCUUAUUCUUCUUUAUUCUCGUUGCUCAUGUUCUCAGAGUCCUCAAGAUUCAACAACAUCUAGCAUACUCCUGAUAAGAACUACAAUGGAUAGUGGUCACCCAAAAUACCACUUCCCUUUUGUCACCCAGCUUAAAACAACAUAACACCUCCACCAAAUUAACAACAAUAUCUGGAUGGAACGAGGCUAGUCUGAAAACUUUCUAUAAUAUCCCUCGAUCAUCACCUUCCUUGUCUCAUAUUUGUAAACUCUUGUUUACUACCAUCGAUAAAUGCCGGAGGGAUAAACUUUUCCUUUAAACAAGUCCUUAAACAAUUCUCAAUCGACUGAUUCCUCUGGUGACAACAAUUCAUACUCCUGUUUCCACCAGGAUACAAAUUCAUAACCAAAACCAGGUAGUCGUCUCGACCCCUUGUCAGAAGGAAGAUUCCUUUGACUUGCAUAUUCCGAAACAUCUUUUCCAAUUGGUUAAUCCGUCACUUUGUUCCCUCAGGUUCAUCAUUUCUCUUAAGUGAUUCAAAUUCAACUCAUAACCCGUCUUAAAAUGUCCAUUUUUCUAAUAUACUGAAUCACCAUAAGAAUAGUUUCCCCUAACCCGCUAAAUCAGGGAGACUAAGUUCCUCUAACUACGUGGUUUGCUACGAGGCGGUGUAGUUCUGACAGAAUUCACUAGAAACUUCUCAAGAUGUCCAAGAUUGCAACCAUGCUCUGAUACCAACUGACAAACCCCAUCCCGAAGGAGGGCAUGCUGGCCGUCACGUGAGAGUGACGUAACCAUUUGCACAGUACGGAAGCUUUAAGAUACAAUUUAAAUUGAUACACCCGAAGGUGAGUCCUAAUUUUGUCCAAUCUGUCAGAACACCGUCGAAUUCCUCGUAGUCACCACACCUUUGUGAUUCCUGAACCUGGAGGGGCGCAAAACCAAAAUUGAGUGGGUCAGUAAAACAAUUCUUUUCCAAAUCCAAACAUUUCUCAAAACGUUGUAACCCCUCUCCGUAAAACCUGUAUACUUUCCCAGAAAUGUAAAAUAUAAAUAUACAUAUAUAUUCUCAAAACUUCAUUUUUACUAUCUCAACAUUAUCUCUUUAUCAAUCAUGCCAUGCCAUGUCAUCUCAACAUUUCUCAUAUUAAUUAUGCCAUGCCACAUCAUCUCAACAGUAAUAAGGUAUGAAUGCAUCAACAUAAUCAUAUCAGGUGCAAGAAAGUAAUCAACCGUAGGCCCUCUAAUAGCCCUAUACGGUUGAACCUAGAGCUCAAAAUCUAUCAUUAUCACUCUACCAGAGUCACCUCUGUGACCCGUCCGGCCUUCUGCACACAAGUUACGCUCUAGUGCUUCUCAUAAAUCAUCUGUGCACAUAAUCUAAGGUCACCCACCAGUCGGAAUCUCACUAACACUCUCGCGACUGGUCUGUCGUACCCACUCCGUGUGGACUGUACGACUAGCAUCUACUUGGAUCCAAGGCGAGCGUGCGAUGCGGUGAAUACUAUAAGCACUAAACCAUGGUGCAGGAUUUGAGCUCAAUAUAUAUCAUCAUCAUCAUAACAGUAAUUAAAUACUCAUCUGUGCGUCCACCGCACCAUUUCAUACAUAUGCAUCAUAAAUCAAUUCUUACCUGUGCGUCCACCGCACCAAUUCAUACAUAUGCAUCAUAUAUUAAUUCAUGCAUGGCAUUUCAACUCACAUUUCUAUAUACUUUUCAUAUCAAUUCUAUGCAUGGUAUUUCACUUCCCGUUUUUCCACAUAACUCAUAUGCAUUUCAUUUUAAACAUAAUUUCAUGCAUUUUCAAUUUCUGGGAAAACGUUAAGUAUAUAUAUAUAUAUACGGAAAACAAAACUGCCCACUCACCUGGAGUUCGUCCAACAACUCCCUAGCACCACACAUCAAGGCGUCACGACGAUCGCCGCCUAGAAUAGUAAUCAAAUCCAACCUCAGAAUUCAUAUCGAUAGAAUAUAUAACUUAUAUAAAAUACGUCACUACGUAGUUCGAUCCGGAAGAUCUGCCACUCAGAUUUUAAAUCCAUAACUUCCAGAGGUCCACAAUAUAUCUCUAGGAUAACAUCCUAAAAUUUCAUUACCAUCCAACGGUCGGAUCUCCGUCAAUUUCCAAAACUAAGUGACGGUUAACAUUUUAUAUAUUAUGGACUUACAAUUCCAAUUCCGGAAGAUCCGUAACUCGGAUUCCCAAUCCGUAAGUUCCAAAAUCCUCAAAUAUUACGUAUUACAACGUAUCAAAGUUUGGUGACGAUCCAACGGUCGGAUCAUCAAUUCACAUUUUCACCUAAAUGUGAAAACUAUAAAACGUUAUUUGAACACCUAACCAACAAUCUUCAAUAACUUUCUCAUACGGUGUUCAAUUUAGGUAUAUGAAUAUACCACAGUGAUCUACUCGACGUCACGGACGUCGACAUAUUUUUAAAAUAAUUUUAUUUUUAUUUUUUAUUUUUACUGUAGCACCUUCUUCUUCCUUGGGUCGCCGGACUGGUUUUUCCGGCGGCCGUUUUCUGGGCAGUUUUUCAAAUUGCCAUAACUUUGUCAUUUCUCAACGAAAUCAAGUGAUUCAAAAACUAAAGUUGUAGCCCUUGAAGAUACAAAGAGAAUGGUACCUUGCACAACACCUAGUUCGCCGUGGUUUGGCCGGAAACUUCCUCGAAAGCCUCGGAGGUCGCCGGAAACUGGGUAUUUUUCAAAUGAGUAUAACUUCUUCAAUACUCAACGAAAUUGAGUGAAACAAAAAGGAAAGUUGUAGUACUUGACGAGACGAAGAGAUUGAUACCUAUCUCGACUCCUAACUCGCCGGGGAUUCGCCGGAAAACGCAUCGAAAGCUCCGGCCAAACUUUGAACUUGUCGAUCUCCGUGUUCUUACGUCCAAAAACUUCCAACGAAGCACUCCGAGCUUCCUUGGGACCUCACUAAGCUCGCUGUGAUCUUGUUUUAGCCUAAAUCGUAACCAUUUAAAAGAUCAUGAACAGUAUAUAAACACGGGACCUUAAAAACUAGGGUUUUCCGAAGCAAAACUUACCUGAAAAUGGUGUCUACGUGAUCGUGGAGUCCUCAGGGUUGCAAUGGUAGUCUUAACUUGGACGUUGGUAUAGGUUUUAGGUGGUUUUGGUGGUUGCCCGUGCGUUCGAGAAGAAGAGAGAGAGUGAGAGUUUCUGAGGAAGAGCUGAGGAAGAGAGAGAGAGUGACUGAGGAGAUGAGAGAGAGACAACAAACGGGAAAUGGGGAGGGAUUUAGGGUGUAGGACCCUACCUAAAGUCCAAACACAAAAUUAUUAGUCCAAGUUUAAGUUUAAUUAACAAUAACUUAGGAAUUUUAGGUAAAACCAAUACCAAAAUUACGCACCUUAAUCCCGUUUAAGGGCAUUUUCGUCUUUUCACGUCCUCGGAAUUAAAAUUCCAGGACGGGCUGUGACA